Molecule: ribosomal RNA, 528 nt
Filed under: uncultured bacterium
Lineage: Bacteria
Description: bacterial SSU rRNA
Rfam family: Bacterial small subunit ribosomal RNA
Source: RNAcentral
UGGGGAAUAUUGGACAAUGGGCGCAAGCCUGAUCCAGCCAUGCCGCGUGGGUGAAGAAGGCCUUCGGGUUGUAAAGCCCUUUUGUUGGGAAAGAAAAGCACGGGGCUAAUACCCUUGUGUUCUGACGGUACCCAAAGAAUAAGCACCGGCUAACUUCGUGCCAGCAGCCGCGGUAAUACGAAGGGUGCAAGCGUUACUCGGAAUUACUGGGCGUAAAGCGUGCGUAGGUGGUGGUUUAAGUCUGCUGUGAAAGCCCUGGGCUCAACCUGGGAAUUGCAGUGGAUACUGGGUCACUAGAAUGUGGUAGAGGGUAGCGGAAUUCCUGGUGUAGCGGUGAAAUGCGUAGAGAUCAGGAGGAACAUCCAUGGCGAAGGCAGCUACCUGGACCAACAUUGACACUGAGGCACGAAAGCGUGGGGAGCAAACAGGAUUAGAUACCCUGGUAGUCCACGCCCUAAACGAUGCGAACUGGAUGUUGGGUGCAAUUUGGCACGCAGUAUCGAAGCUAACGCGUUAAGUUCGCCGCCU